Molecule: ribosomal RNA, 152 nt
Filed under: uncultured fungus
Lineage: Eukaryota; Fungi
Description: partial 5.8S ribosomal RNA
Rfam family: 5.8S ribosomal RNA
About the family: 5.8S ribosomal RNA (5.8S rRNA) is a component of the large subunit of the eukaryotic ribosome.
Source: RNAcentral
AAGUUUCACAACGGAUCUCUUGGCUCUCGCAUCGAUGAAGACGCAGCGAAAUGCGAUAAGUAAUGUGAAUUGCAGAAUUCAGUGAAUCAUCGAAUCUUUGAACGCACCUUGCGCUCCUUGGUAUUCCUCGGAGCAUGCCUGUUUGAGUAUCA